This 688-nucleotide ribosomal RNA is filed under the name uncultured bacterium. RNAcentral describes it as "bacterial SSU rRNA". It matches the Rfam family "Bacterial small subunit ribosomal RNA", at positions 9 to 705 of the family's 1533-position model. The record is from RNAcentral.
GAGUUUGAUCAUGGCUCAGGAUGAAUGCUGGCGGCGUGCCUUAAGCAUGCAAGUCGAACGGAUGAGUCGCAAGACAAGUCAGUGGCAGACGGGUGAGUAACGCGUAGGAAUCUACCCCUGGGCGGGGAAUAGCCCACCGAAAGGUGGGGUAAUACCCCAUGGUCUCGUAAGAGUAAAGGACUUAACGGUCCACCGAGGGAGGAGCCUGCGUCCUAUCAGCUAGUUGGCGGGGUAAAAGCCCACCAAGGCAAAGAUGGCUAGCUGGUCUGAGAGGAUGACCAGCCACACUGGGACUGAGACACGGCCCAGACUCCUACGGGAGGCAGCAGUGGGGAAUAUUGCGCAAUGGGCGAAAGCCUGACGCAGCGACGCCGCGUGGGUGAUGAAGGCCUUCGGGUCGUAAAGCCCUGUCGGGAGGGACGAAACCUCGGCGACCUAACAUGUCGUCGACCUGACGGUACCUCCGAAGGAAGCACCGGCUAACUCCGUGCCAGCAGCCGCGGUAAUACGGAGGGUGCGAGCGUUGUUCGGAAUCACUGGGCGUAAAGCGCGUGUAGGCGGCCUUGUAAGUCUGGUGUGAAAGCCCGGGGCUUACCCCCGGAAGUGCAUUGGAAACUGCAAGGCUUGAGUACCGGAGAGGAAGGUGGAAUUCCUGGUGUAGCGGUGAAAUGCGUAGAUAUCAGGAGGA